ACUUUUGUAGUAUAAUUAAUACAUUGAUAUUAAAAAUCAUAAAAGAGAUUUAUUCUCCUAAAGUA
This 65-nucleotide transfer RNA is filed under the name Stenchaetothrips biformis. Its description in RNAcentral is "tRNA-Leu". Lineage: Eukaryota; Metazoa; Arthropoda; Insecta; Thysanoptera; Thripidae. The record is from RNAcentral.